This is a long non-coding RNA of Sciurus carolinensis (gray squirrel), 6389 nucleotides long. RefSeq lists it as uncharacterized. The record is from RefSeq and is a predicted model, not a curated record. The transcript has 8 exons. NCBI's taxonomy places the organism in Eukaryota, Metazoa, Chordata, Mammalia, Rodentia, Sciuridae.
CGAGCCUCUCUCCCACCCUCUUCUCCUUCUCUCACCCAGCCGGUGCCAGGGAGACUGUCUCUUUCCCCGGGCCUCCCUUUCCCUCUGGGUCUCUGGGUCUCUGGGUCUCUGGCUCCCUCUGCGUCUCUCUCUCCCAGCCCCCUGGUCUCCCAGUCUCUGUGUCUCCCCGUGUCUUUCUGCGGCUCCCACGCUCUCUGUCUCUCCGAAUCUCUCUCCCACCCCCUUCUCUCUAUCUCUGUCGCUCGGGCUCGUUCUGUCUCAGUGUCACUCGGGCUGUCUCACGCGCGUUCUUUCUCCGGAGCGGGUCCCACCGUCCGCUCGCCGGUGCGCCGCCUGCUCGCCUCAGCCCUGGGAACGCAGCGCGGCGCUUGGAAGGAAAGGGUUAAGACCACCGAGAAGAGCCGCCCUCCGGAGGCUAGAGUGGCCGCGUGUGGGAAGGCGGAGUCUGCGGGCCUGGCGUGCGUCAGAGGGCAGGGACGCCUGGGAGAAGAACGGGGACCUGGGUUCGCUGCGGCUGCUGCAGUGCGAGUCGGGAAGGGGCAGCAGGAUUUCUCCGCGGGGCGGCCAGCAUUCGCAAUCCCAUGCUCUGUGGUGAACACACCCAAAGGCUAUAUAUGGCCCUCUUUAAUUCCUCUGAGUGCAACGUGCCUAAGUAUGCAGUGAAGCGUGUGCUGUGGACAGGGCAACAAUAAAUGAGAAAAAAUGAAAAUGUCACCAGUCCCACCACCACCAUUCCCAACCCCUAAGCCUGCCUGGAGUGUAAGCUAGAAUCCCAGGAGCCCUGGCAUGCAGCUCUCCACACCCACGUGUCUCCCUGCCAGGAGAUGAACCGAAAGAAGAGCUAUCUGCUGACCCGCAGAUACCGUACUGUGACUGGAUGGUCCUCAUUGUUCCAACACCACGUCCAUCUGUGAAACACGGGCCUCCGUCAGGAAUUUAGAGACAAACAGUGCCCAAAGAAGUGUUUGCGAUGGCUUCAGCACAGCUUUGGAGUCGACCAGAUAUGGAAGCAUCGUGAUGUGGGGCCCACCAGACUGAGGAUGGAAGCCUAGUUCUUCCUGUGCAGAUCUCUGUUCUUCAGCUUUCCCCACUCUACAGUGUGGAUAAUCAGAGUGCCCAUCUGCUACGCCUACCCCUCCCUGGUGAGAAGACUUCCCCAGACUUCACACCUCCAGAGACUGGCAGCGGGGCUGCACAGCAAAUAGUGCUCUGAGGCCAAGGAGCAAGGGUCCUGGGAUCCAGGCCCUCAAUUGUGUGGGUGAAGAGCCGCAGAGGUGCACCUGCUGUGGUUACUUUCUGGGUGCCGGAGACGCCUAGGAGGAGGUAGACCAUAACAUCUCAGGACAAGAUGGGUAUGUCCUGUUUGUGCCUGGGUGGGACGCCCCGUUUCCCUUGUCACUGAGAUUUCGACAAUUGUAGCUGAGGGAGAUGCCACAUGUUUCUAAACAUUGGCAGGAAUAUGACCCCAGGGCAGGGUCCAAAGGAAGCUGACUAAACUGAAAGUCUCGAUAAGGACUGUGGGCUGUUAGGAGCUGAAGUGGACAAGGACUCAGGAUAAUCUCUCACUGUUUCUGGACAGUCGUGGAAAUGAAACAUCAGGAGGAGGUCACAGACACCUGUCUGAACUUGGGUAUGUGACAAUGUCUCUCUUCCUGGAGUGGAACCUGCACAUAGCCCAGAUGUUUCAAACCUUGGAAUACAGAACCAAAGGCAGACCGUGCCUCUUUCUGUGACACAGAUCUGCCCUCAGCUCAGAACCAUCACACCCCGGACGUGGACUUUCAGACACGUCAGGGACCUCACCCUGUAGGUCACCAGACACCAAAUACUCCAGUGCCAUGCAGAACCCAGAAAGAAACCCAGGAACGCACAACUCAGAGACCUCAAAUUUUUGGACACACAAUAUCACACAAUGGAGUGAACUCGGCGAAUGAGACCAGGGACCCCGAGGAGCCCAGAGAAGUCCAGUUCUGAAAUACAGACCCAUAUGCAUGUCAGCAAUGGCAGAGCCCAUGACUUAAAACCCCACAUAGCUCCCAGACCUCCCACCCUGGACAUAUAGGCUGACAAAAUCAUGGCGCCCACACCCUGGUAUGCGGGCACAUGCACAUCUGAGAGGACUGGUACUGAGGACACACAGACCUCGUACAUGGGGUUAUGUGCAACAGACAUCUCAGAAAAGUGAGAGCGUGGUGCACAAAUUCCCACAAACCCCAAAGUUUGCAAACGAGGACAUGGUCAGCCCCUCAGAUUUCCAGCAACCUCAGUCCCUGGGAUGCAGACUUAUAAUCGGGUCACAGAGGUCACACUCAAAAUGCAGAACCCAGAAGGGAUAGCAUCUGUGAUCUCACGAGCAUAGGGUGAGGGAUGCCAGGGUGCAUCACAUCUUGCACAUCAAUGCUCUGCAGAACUCAAACCCUAAUUCUGGAAAUACAGAAUGAGAACUACAAAGAAUGUAUAUGGUAGACAUGGCCCCCAGAAGAGAUCAGACCUCACACACCAGCACACACAUUCAUAAAGAGCCCAGAGAUCCCUCACCCUGGACACAACCCCCACAUCCUGGACGGACAUCCUGAAACAACUCAGACACCUGACAACCUGUAAUGGGCCAGGGACCUCACAACCUGGACAGAGUUUGAAGCAACUCAGAGAUGUGAUGUAUGGCCUUAGCAACGCCCACAGGGUCACAUCUUACAUGAUCCAUGCCAGAUAGUGAGUGCCACAGCGAGGUUUCACCCAGUCUCAUGAGUGAGACAUGGAUGGAAUGAGUGAAAGGUAGAAAUAGGGGAGAAUGAGAACAAGGCAGACUUUUCUGUAAAUCUGUCUCCACCGAAUGAACGCCUACCUCUGGACCCUGGUCCAGGCCCCUGAGUAAUCUCCUUUUUCAGGGGAAUGAAAACCCAGGUUCUGCCAUCAGAGGCUGUUUCUGGGCAGUGAUUCAGCUAUGCCUGGUCCUGACGCACCCUGGAUCCCUGUGCCUGUCAACGUGGGGAUGUGUCCUAGGUCAGGUGUAUUGUGCCAUCCUGGAGGGGAACCACCACUGCCCUCAGGCCUGAGGUGCCCUUGUGCCACAGAGUCACUGUCUGGGUAAGGAGAGGCUGAGUGUGUGCCUGUGAACCAGGAUGGCCCUGUGGUGCUCAGAGCAGAGCCGAUGCUCCUGGGAACCCACCUCCUGCUCAACAGUGGACUGCCUGGCCAGCAUCCUGUUCACCCUGAAUGGUGUCAUUCUGACUCUUGAGCAUGCAGAUCCAGGUGGCCUUCGGCCCCUGACUUCCUCUGCCCUCCUCAGCCCUGAACAGAAGGCCCCCUAAGAAUCCUUUGAGAAUGAAUGGCCCAAGGUGAAAGGGGGAGAUGGUGGAAGUGUUUGCAGUGGUGUAUCAGGGCUGUAUGGCACAGACCACACACCCGAUACAGAAGGGCACCACUGUCCCUCCCACCCUUCCCCCUCAGCAUCCCCUCACUCCCUUUCCUUUCUGUCCUUCUCAGGACAUGCUCAGAGUAUGCUUGUUCCCUCCUCCCAAUUUGUAAAUCAGGUAAGUAUAAAGAGGUUGGGGUGUGAGGGUCUCUCUACUUACAUAUGGCUUGGUGUAAGUUGACAUAGUGCAGACAUCUUCCUACACACUCACACCAUGAGAGCAACCCUGGGGUUGGGCUGUCUGUUCGUGGGCAGUCACAGCUGGGAGGCUGUGCUGUUUGGGGACUGAGGCUGAUGGAGCCUUGCUGGUGGGCCUUGUCUUCCUGGGCGACACAUACACUGGCCCAUCUCUGAUUCCCUGGUGGAUCUGCACUCUCUGAGGUCUCAGUCUCAUACCUGUAACCUUCCUGCUGGAGAGCUGUGAACAAAGUCGGGACUUAACUGAUGCCUGGUGACAAGUUCAUUCCCUUAAUCCACCUGUCCGCUAAUUACCAAGAUGCUCUCAACAUCUCUAACUGCCUGAUGCCUAAAAAGCAUGUCAUUUAAGCAUUUACUUCUUUUUAUUGAGCAGGUUUCCAUCCCCAUGGAGGAACCAAACCCCCUUUGAACUGUCUCUGCACAUCUAGGACCCACAGGCAAUGGUAUAAUUCUAAUGAAGUGAAAGGCUCCUGUAAAGAGGAUGUGGAGCAGAAGGAACACUCUUAAGCCAGUGGUGGGAUUAUAAAUGAGUACAACCACUAUGGAAAUCAGAAUGGAGUCUCCUGAAAAGACUAGGCAUGGAACCCCCAUAUGACCCAGCUAUACCGCUCCUCAGUAUUUAUCCUGAAGAACUAAAGUCAUGGUACAGUGAUACAUGCAUACCCAUCUUCAUAGCAGCACAAUUCACAAUAGCCAAACUACGGAACCAGCCUAUUUGUGCACUGGAUGAAUGGAUAAAGAAAAUGUGGUAUGUAUACAUGAUGGAGUUUUAUUAAGCCUUAAAAAAGAAUGACAGUAUGUCAUUUGCAGGAAAACGGAUGGAACUAGAGACCAUUAUGUUAAGCAAGAUAAGGCAAGGUGCAACCAUCAAAGGAGCUAUGUUUUCUCCUAUAUACUGAAGGUAGAGAGGAAAAAGGAAAAGAAAGAUGGAACUCAAGGGAGGUCUGUAGAGGAAAGUGACCAAGGAGUGGGAGAUGGGGUUGGAGGUAAGUAAGUAGUGCUGAGAGUGACAUUAGCUAAAUUACAUUGUUUUGUGUGCAUGUACAAAUAUGUAACAUGAAAUCUCAUCAUUAUGAGGACUAAUAAAAAUGUGGGCAAAAUGUUCCCACAAUAGCCAAAACAAUCUUGAAAAAGAACAAAGUUGCAAGACUCACACUCCCAGAUUUGAAAACGUACUAUAAAUUUAAUGUAGUCAAGGCAGUGUGGUACUAACCAAUAAGUAUAGAUAGUAGCACAAAAUGAAGUGUUCCAAACGCCAUAUUUGUAUGGUGGAUUGAUUGUUCUCAAGGGUGCCAAGGCUGUUACCUAGCAAAUAAUAGUCUUUUCAGCUGAUUGUUCUGGGAUAACUGGAUGUCCAUAUGCAAAGGGAUGAAUUUAGACCGGUGUGUCACACUGUCUACAAUUAAAAUGAAUUAUAGGGCUGGGAUAUAGCUCAGUUGGUAGAGCAUUUGCCUUGUAAGCACAAGGCCCUGGGUUCAAUCUCCAGCACUGCAACAACAAAAAAAUUACACUUAAAUGUAAGACUUAAAACUAAAAUUAUCAGAAGAAAACAUACGUAAAUCUUCAAAACCUUGAUGUAGGCAACAAUUUACUAGAUGUGACAUGAAUACACAAACAGCAAAAGAUAAUACAGAUAAUGUGAAAUCACCAAAAUUUGAACUUUUAUGCUUCAGAGGACACCAUCAAGAAAAUGAAAAAAGGGCUGGGGUUGUAGCUCAGUUGUAGAGUGCUUGCCUGGCAUGUGUGAGGCACUGGGUUCGAUUCUCAGCACCAGAUACAUACAAAUAAAUAAAUAUCCAUUGACAACUAAAAAUAUUUUGAAAAAGAAAGUGAAAAUUGGCUGGGGUUGUCCCUGAGUUGUACAGUGCUCACCUAGCAUGCAUGAGGCUCUGGUUUGAGCCUCAGUACUAUAUAAAAGUAAAAAAAUUAAAAAAAGGUAUUGUGUCCACGUACAACUAAAAAAUAUAUUUAAAAAAGUAAGUGAAAAGAGAACCCAAAGUAUAAGAAAAAAUAUUGCAAAUUAUGUAUUUGAUAAGGAACCUGUAUCUAUAAGACACAUCUGACCACCUCUCAAGAGAAAAGACAAACCAAUUAAAAGAUGGGUGAAAAAUAUAAAUCCAAAUUUGUCCAGAGAAGAUAUCCAAAUGGGUGAUAAGCACAUGAAAAUAAGCUCCAUAUCAUUACCUUCAGGGAAAUGCAUACAUGAGUCACAUUGAGGUACCCUUGCCCUCCCAGUAGGAUGGCUUCAGUAGAAAAAUAAGUGUUGGUUAAGUGUGCAGAGAAAUUGAAACCCUCAUUCAUACACUGGUGGUUGCAAUAUCAAAUGAUGUAUUCACUUUGGAAAUAGUCUGGCAAUUCCUCAGAUGUUAAAUAUAGAGUAUCACGCAGCCCAGAUUUCUACUUCUAGGAAUAUAUCUGAAAGAAAUGAAAACAUUCACAGAAAACUUUGUCUAUGGAUGUUCAUGCAUUGUGUAUAAUUGCCAGAAGUGUAAUCAAUAGGAAUGUCGGUGGAGUGACAGAUUGAAAAAUAAACGUGUAUUUGUAUGAAAGAACAUUAUUCAUCAGUAAAAAGAAAUUUACAUUAUGAAACUUGGAAACAUUUUGGCAAGUUGAAGAAGCCAUUCCGAAAGAAACCAUCUGUUAGAUGAUUCCAAUUGUGUGUAAUGUUCAGAAUAGGCAAAUUUAUUUAGUUACUUGAAAUUGAACCCAGGGGUUCUUAACUAUGGAGUCACAUCCCCAGCCUUUUUUGUUUUAAACAUUUUAAGAUUUCUUUUAG